RNAcentral lists this ribosomal RNA (508 nucleotides) under uncultured bacterium. RNAcentral's name for it is "partial 16S ribosomal RNA". It matches the Rfam family "Bacterial small subunit ribosomal RNA", at positions 28 to 505 of the family's 1533-position model. The record is from RNAcentral.
GACGAACGCUGGCGGCGUGCUUAACACAUGCAAGUCGAACGAAGAGCGAUGGAAGCUUGCUUCUAUCAAUCUUAGUGGCGAACGGGUGAGUAACGCGUAAUCAACCUGCCCUUCAGAGGGGGACAACAGUUGGAAACGACUGCUAAUACCGCAUACGAUCUAAUCUCGGCAUCGAGGAUAGAUGAAAGGUGGCCUCUACAUGUAAGCUAUCACUGAAGGAGGGGAUUGCGUCUGAUUAGCUAGUUGGAGGGGUAACGGCCCACCAAGGCGAUGAUCAGUAGCCGGUCUGAGAGGAUGAACGGCCACAUUGGGACUGAGACACGGCCCAGACUCCUACGGGAGGCAGCAGUGGGGAAUCUUCCGCAAUGGACGAAAGUCUGACGGAGCAACGCCGCGUGAGUGAUGACGGCCUUCGGGUUGUAAAGCGCUGUUAAUCGGGACGAAAGGCCUUCUUGCGAAUAGUGAGAAGGAUUGACGGUACCGGAAUAGAAAGCCACGGCUAACUACG